GGGUAACACUAACUGGAGGACCGAACCGACUAAUGUUGAAAAAUUAGCGGAUGACUUGUGGCUGGGGGUGAAAGGCCAAUCAAACCGGGAGAUAGCUGGUUCUCCCCGAAAGCUAUUUAGGUAGCGCCUCGUGAAUUCAUCUCCGGGGGUAGAGCACUGUUUCGGCAAGGGGGUCAUCCCGACUUACCAACCCGAUGCAAACUGCGAAUACCGGAGAAUGUUAUCACGGGAGACACACGGCGGGUGCUAACGUCCGUCGUGAAGAGGGAAACAACCCAGACCGCCAGCUAAGGUCCCAAAGUCAUGGUUAAGUGGGAAACGAUGUGGGAAGGCCCAGACAGCCAGGAUGUUGGCUUAGAAGCAGCCAUCAUUUAAAGAAAGCGUAAUAGCUCACUGGUCGAGUCGGCCUGCGCGGAAGAUGUAACGGGGCUAAACCAUG
RNAcentral lists this ribosomal RNA (439 nucleotides) under Escherichia coli. RNAcentral's name for it is "partial 23S ribosomal RNA". It matches the Rfam family "Bacterial large subunit ribosomal RNA", at positions 754 to 1191 of the family's 2925-position model. The record is from RNAcentral. Lineage: Bacteria; Pseudomonadati; Pseudomonadota; Gammaproteobacteria; Enterobacterales; Enterobacteriaceae.